GAUAGGAGCUUGCUCCUUUGACGUUAGCGGCGGACGGGUGAGUAACACGUGGGUAACCUACCUAUAAGACUGGAAUAACUCCGGGAAACCGGGGCUAAUGCCGGAUAACAUAUAGAACCGCAUGGUUCUAUAGUGAAAGAUGGUUUUGCUAUCACUUAUAGAUGGACCCGCGCCGUAUUAGCUAGUUGGUAAGGUAACGGCUUACCAAGGCGACGAUACGUAGCCGACCUGAGAGGGUGAUCGGCCACACUGGAACUGAGACACGGUCCAGACUCCUACGGGAGGCAGCAGUAGGGAAUCUUCCGCAAUGGGCGAAAGCCUGACGGAGCAACGCCGCGUGAGUGAUGAAGGGUUUCGGCUCGUAAAACUCUGUUAUUAGGGAAGAACAUAUGUGUAAGUAACUGUGCACAUCUUGACGGUACCUAAUCAGAAAGCCACGGCUAACUACGUGCCAGCAGCCGCGGUAAUACGUAGGUGGCAAGCGUUAUCCGGAAUUAUUGGGCGUAAAGCGCGCGUAGGCGGUUUCUUAAGUCUGAUGUGAAAGCCCACGGCUCAACCGUGGAGGGUCAUUGGAAACUGGGAAACUUGAGUGCAGAAGAGGAAAGUGGA
This 609-nucleotide ribosomal RNA is filed under the name Staphylococcus sp. HPC291. RNAcentral describes it as "bacterial SSU rRNA". It matches the Rfam family "Bacterial small subunit ribosomal RNA", at positions 71 to 665 of the family's 1533-position model. Lineage: Bacteria; Bacillati; Bacillota; Bacilli; Caryophanales; Staphylococcaceae. The record is from RNAcentral.